GAGAGAGAGAGAGAGAGAGAGAGAGAGAGAGAGAGAGAUUAUGACUGGUGUUGUUUAUUGUAAGUGUUUGUUGACACUUGACAGCCCUGGAGAUGGCACCAUGACGCAUUAUGGGAAGUAGGCAGUGUGAGGCUCUGGAAAUGUUACUUUAAUACAUACAACUUACCUAAACAUUGUUGAUGGCCAAGUGCACCCCUACAAGGCAAUGGUAUUCCCUAAUGCCACCUACCACAUGACAGUGAUCAGGCCUUCAAAUUCUCUAGAUCUCAAUCCAGUUGAGUAUUCUUAUCCAUGGAGGCCCCACUUUGAAACUUACAGGACUUCACUCAGAGGUUUUGGGGAGUCCAUGUUUCAGCAGAAACAAGAUCCACAAGUUCAAAUCCAAGUGGUGGAAAAUGAAAGAAGACAAUGGAUGGAAGUGGAGUGACUACAUUGUUGAACCGGUUCAGCUGGUAAGACCUACAUUAUUGAAAGUCUGGAUUUAAUGCUAUGAAGUUUACAGAAAAUUUAGAACCUUUAAUAUCACUACAGAACUACAGUUCUGAUAAUCCACCUCUUCUGAAAUAACUAUGCUGACUGCUGCCAUAUUCCAGAGUAAUCAUUUUAUUGAUAUGCCGGGUACCACAAUCAAUACACAAGAAUGGUUUAAUAAUUGCAUGACUCCACCAACUGUCACAGGCAUGGUGCCAUUAUUUAACCUGUUCUUUAUACUGAUGUUGUUCUUCAUUUCUUUGUUCUUGAUCAACUUGAUCUGCCUCUGGCUGUCCAAGAAGAAGUCCAAGAGCCUCUGUGAAGAACUGUAUUUGACUUUUUGUGAUUUUAGUAUGUGAUACAUUUUCAGACAUUUGGGAUUUUUCCCCCAAAAACACCUUCUCUUAUAAUAACAUAUUUUAGUGCCAGUGCACACACAUCUCAAAUCAUUUUGUUCCUCAGUCCAUCAACCACCUACAGUCAUUUGUGAAUCAUUGCAACUAUCACAGUAUGAUAACCUAGUUUAAAAAAAAUCUCGAUUUCAUGGUACUAAUUAACCAUUUAAAAAUACAAAAAAAAGACAGUGAUAAUGAAUUAAUUAAAUUGAUUAUCCUCCUCCAAAAAAAAAA
Molecule: long non-coding RNA, 1100 nt
Organism: Tachysurus fulvidraco (yellow catfish)
Lineage: Eukaryota; Metazoa; Chordata; Actinopteri; Siluriformes; Bagridae
Exons: 2
Source: RefSeq, a predicted model, not a curated record